Molecule: ribosomal RNA, 2028 nt
Filed under: Shinella sp. DD12
Lineage: Bacteria; Pseudomonadati; Pseudomonadota; Alphaproteobacteria; Hyphomicrobiales; Rhizobiaceae
Description: bacterial LSU rRNA
Rfam family: Bacterial large subunit ribosomal RNA
Source: RNAcentral
UUAAGUGUCGUAAGGGCAAUUGGUGGAUGCCUUGGCAUGCACAGGCGAUGAAGGACGUGAUACGCUGCGAUAAGCCGUGGGGAGCUGCGAAUGAGCUUUGAUCCAUGGAUUUCCGAAUGGGGAAACCCACCUUAAAUGCUUGGAAAAUCCAAACUGACAGCGAUGUCGGCUUGGGUUUCCAAGCAUUGUGAUAAGGUAUCUUACUUUCGAAUACAUAGGGGUAAGAAGCGAACGCAGGGAACUGAAACAUCUAAGUACCUGCAGGAAAGGACAUCAACCGAGACUCCGCAAGUAGUGGCGAGCGAACGCGGACCAGGCCAGUGGCAAUGCUGAAUAAAGUGGAACGGAAUGGAAAGUCCGGCCUUAGCGGGUGAUAGCCCCGUACACGUAGAACAGGCAUUGUCCUUGAGUAAGGCGGGACACGUGAAAUCCUGUCUGAACAUGGGGAGACCACUCUCCAAGCCUAAGUACUCGUGCAUGACCGAUAGCGAACAAGUACCGUGAGGGAAAGGUGAAAAGCACCCCGACAAGGGGAGUGAAAUAGAACCUGAAACCGGUUGCCUACAAGCAGUUGGAGGGCGCAAGCCUGACAGCGUACCUUUUGUAUAAUGGGUCAACGACUUAGUGUAACUAGCAAGCUUAAGCCGGUAGGUGUAGGCGCAGCGAAAGCGAGUGUUAAUAGCGCGAUCAUAGUUAGUUGCAUUAGACCCGAAACCGAGUGAUCUAGCCAUGAGCAGGUUGAAGGUUGGGUAACACCAACUGGAGGACCGAACCCGCAUCUGUUGCAAUAGAUUGGGAUGACUUGUGGCUAGGGGUGAAAGGCCAAUCAAACUCGGAGAUAGCUGGUUCUCCGCGAAAUCUAUUUAGGUAGAGCGUCGACCGAAUACCUCAGGGGGUAGAGCACUGGAUGGGCUAUGGGGACUCACCGUCUUACUGAUCCUAACCAAACUCCGAAUACCUGAGAGUACUAGUCGGCAGACACACGGCGGGUGCUAACGUCCGUCGUGAAAAGGGCAACAACCCUGACCUCCAGCUAAGGUCCCCAAGUCAUGGCUAAGUGGGAAAGGAUGUGAGGAUCCCAAAACAACCAGGAUGUUGGCUUAGAAGCAGCCAUCAUUUAAAGAAAGCGUAACAGCUCACUGGUCUAAAUAAGGGUCUUUGCGCCGAAAAUGUAACGGGGCUAAAGCCAUGCACCGAAGCUGAGGAUGUAUCGCAAGAUACGUGGUAGCGGAGCGUUCCGUAAGCCUGCGAAGGAGGACCCGUGAGGGCCUCUGGAGGUAUCGGAAGUGCGAAUGUUGACAUGAGUAACGAUAAAGAGGGUGAGAGACCCUCUCGCCGAAAGACCAAGGGUUCCUGCUUAAAGUUAAUCUGAGCAGGGUUAGCCGGCCCCUAAGACGAGGCGGACACGCGUAGUCGAUGGGAACCACGUUAAUAUUCGUGGGCCUGGUGGUAGUGACGGAUUGCGUAACUUGUUCAGACUUAUUGGAUUGUCUGGGCGGGGAAGCGGUUCCAGGAAAUAGCUCCACCGUAUAGACCGUACCCGAAACCGACACAGGUGGUCAGGUAGAGCAUACCAAGGCGCUUGAGAGAACUCUGCUGAAGGAACUCGGCAAAUUGCACGCGUAACUUCGGAAGAAGCGUGACCCCAAGGUACGCAAGUAUUUUGGGGUGGCACAGACCAGGGGGUAGCGACUGUUUAUCAAAAACACAGGGCUCUGCGAAGUCGCAAGACGACGUAUAGGGUCUGACGCCUGCCCGGUGCUGGAAGGUUAAGAGGAGAGGUGCAAGCUUUGAAUCGAAGCCCCAGUAAACGGCGGCCGUAACUAUAACGGUCCUAAGGUAGCGAAAUUCCUUGUCGGGUAAGUUCCGACCUGCACGAAUGGCGUAACGACUUCCCCGCUGUCUCCAGCAGAGACUCAGUGAAAUUGAAUUCCCCGUGAAGAUGCGGGGUUCCUGCGGUUAGACGGAAAGACCCCGUGCACCUUUACUAUAGCUUUACACUGGCAUUCGUGUCGGCAUGUGUAGGAU